GACGAGGGGUCCAAGCGUUGUUCGGAAUCAUUGGGCGUAAAGCGGGUGUAGGCGGCUCUAUAAGUCAGGAGUGGAAGCCCCGAGCUUAACUUGGGAAGUGCUUUUGAUACUGCAGAGCUUGAAUGUGGGAGAGGUUAGUGGAAUUCCAGGUGUAGUGGUGAAAUACGUAGAUAUCUGGAGGAACACCGGUGGCGAAGGCGGCUAACUGGCCCAACAUUGACGCUGAGACCCGAAAGCAUGGGGAUCAAACAGG
This 253-nucleotide ribosomal RNA is filed under the name uncultured bacterium. RNAcentral describes it as "partial 16S ribosomal RNA". It matches the Rfam family "Bacterial small subunit ribosomal RNA", at positions 524 to 776 of the family's 1533-position model. The record is from RNAcentral.